This 776-nucleotide ribosomal RNA is filed under the name uncultured Neocallimastigales. RNAcentral's name for it is "partial large subunit ribosomal RNA". It matches the Rfam family "Eukaryotic large subunit ribosomal RNA", at positions 24 to 647 of the family's 3401-position model. Lineage: Eukaryota; Fungi; Neocallimastigomycota; Neocallimastigomycetes; Neocallimastigales. The record is from RNAcentral.
UAUGUGAUCGUCUCUCGCAUAUCAAUAAGCGGAGGAAAAAGAAACUAACGAGGAUUCCCCUAGUAACGGCGAGUGAAGCGGGAAGAGCUCAAAUUUGAAAUCUUAAAGGGUUUCCCUUUACGAAUUGUAGUUUAAAGAAGUGUUUUCUGUUGAGGUUUUGGUAAAAGUUCUUUGGAAUAGGACAUCAUAGAGGGUGAGAAUCCCGUAUUUGACCUUUACUUUCAACUUUGUGAUACACUUUCAAAGAGUCGGAUUGUUUGGGAAUGCAGUCCAAAAUGGGUGGUAAAUUUCAUCUAAAGCUAAAUAUUGGCGAGAGACCGAUAGCGAACAAGUACCGUGAGGGAAAGAUGAAAAGAACUUUGAAAAGAGAGUUAAACAGUACGUGAAAUUGUCAAAAGGGAAGCGUUUGACACCAGUGUUGUUUUUCUGAAAAUCAAUUAAAGAACUGUUUAUGCUAAGCUGUUUAGACUUUAUCAGCUAAUCUGUUUAGUUUUGAGCUUUUCUUUAAUGCACUUUUCAGUUAACAAGUCAACAUCAAUUUCUUUUGCUGUAAAAAAGCUUGAGGAAGGUGGCUUGAGAUUCGUCUUAAGUGUUUAUAGCCUCUUGCCUAUGCAGUCGGAGAGAUUGAGGUCUGCAGCGUAGAUCCUUCGGGGCUAAAUGCAUUUGUGCUAAGUUAUAGCAUUUUAUAGACAACUUGUUGACUAUGAUUUGUCUUGUAGCUUACUCGCUUAUGUUAUUUUACCUACGCUUAGGAUGUUGAUCUGUAGUGCGUGCGC